GAUGAACGCUGGCGGCGUGCUUAACACAUGCAAGUCGAACGGAACUACUCCAAUGAGAGUCUUCGGAAAGGAGUUGGUUUAGUUUAGUGGCGGACGGGUGAGUAACGCGUGGGUAACCUGCCCUAUACAGGGGGAUAACAGUUGGAAACGACUGUUAAUACCGCAUAAGCGCACAGGAGCGCAUGCUCCGGUGUGAAAAACUCCGGUGGUAUAGGAUGGACCCGCGUCUGAUUAGCUGGUUGGCGGGGUAACGGCCCACCAAGGCGACGAUCAGUAGCCGGCCUGAGAGGGUGAACGGCCACAUUGGGACUGAGACACGGCCCAAACUCCUACGGGAGGCAGCAGUGGGGAAUAUUGCACAAUGGGGGAAACCCUGAUGCAGCGACGCCGCGUGAGCGAAGAAGUAUCUCGGUAUGUAAAGCUCUAUCAGCAGAGAAGAAAAUGACGGUACCUGACGAAGAAGCCCCGGCUAACUACGUG
This 480-nucleotide ribosomal RNA is filed under the name uncultured bacterium. RNAcentral describes it as "partial 16S ribosomal RNA". It matches the Rfam family "Bacterial small subunit ribosomal RNA", at positions 28 to 507 of the family's 1533-position model. The record is from RNAcentral.